GACACUGAGGUGCGAAAGCGUGGGUAGCAAACAGGAUUAGAUACCCUGGUAGUCCACGCCGUAAACGAUGUCAACUAGCCGUUGGGUCCCUUGAGGACUUAGUGGCGCAGCUAACGCAAUAAGUUGACCGCCUGGGGAGUACGGCCGCAAGGUUAAAACUCAAAUGAAUUGACGGGGGCCCGCACAAGCGGUGGAGCAUGUGGUUUAAUUCGAUGCAACGCGAAGAACCUUACCUACCCUUGACAUCCAGAGGACUUUCCAGAGAUGGAUUGGUGCCUUCGGGAACUCUGAGACAGGUGCUGCAUGGCUGUCGUCAGCUCGUGUUGUGAAAUGUUGGGUUAAGUCCCGUAACGAGCGCAACCCCUAUCCUUAUUUGCCAGCGAGUCAUGUCGGGAACUCUAAGGAGACUGCCGGUGACAAACCGGAGGAAGGUGGGGACGACGUCAAGUCAUCAUGGCCCUUACGGGUAGGGCUACACACGUGCUACAAUGGCAAGUACAAAGGGUUGCAACACGGCGACGUGGAGCCAAUCCCAUAAAGCUUGCCUCAGUCCGGAUUGGAGUCUGCAACUCGACUCCAUGAAGUCGGAAUCGCUAGUAAUCGUGGAUCAGAAUGCCACGGUGAAUACGUUCCCGGGCCUUGUACACACCGCCCGUCACACCAUGGGAGUGGACUGCACCAGAAGUGGUUAGCC
RNAcentral lists this ribosomal RNA (694 nucleotides) under uncultured bacterium. RNAcentral describes it as "bacterial SSU rRNA". It matches the Rfam family "Bacterial small subunit ribosomal RNA", at positions 742 to 1435 of the family's 1533-position model. The record is from RNAcentral.